Molecule: ribosomal RNA, 253 nt
Filed under: uncultured bacterium
Lineage: Bacteria
Description: partial 16S ribosomal RNA
Rfam family: Bacterial small subunit ribosomal RNA
Source: RNAcentral
UACGGGGGGGGCAAGCGUUGUUCGGAAUUACUGGGCGUAAAGGGCUCGUAGGUGGCCAACUAAGUCAGACGUGAAAUCCCUCAGCUUAACUGGGGAACUGCGUCUGAUACUGGAUGGCUUGGAUCCGGGAGAGGGAUGCGGAAUUCCAGGUGUAGCGGUGAAAUGCGUAGAUACCUGGAGGAACACCGGUGGCGAAGGCGGCAUCCUGGACUGGUAUUGACGCUGAGGAGCGAAAGCCAGGGGAGCAAACGGG